CAUCUGCUGGGGAUGUAGGUCCAUGUCCUUGACCCAAGACCUUCCCUCAUUCCUGCCCCCAUCCCUCCUCAAGCCAUAUCCCUUACAUCCCUUGAGUCCUCCAUCCCCCCUCCCCCAUCUCCCUGUUCACAGCCUCUGCCCCUCCUCUCCCUACCCUGUACCACCCCCACCCCAGGUCUUCCUCCAUCUCCUUGGGAACACAGAGCUCCUCUAGCAGGCACUCUCAGAACACAGCCUGCCGGCCCCAGCACCCGGCCUUGCUCCCAGCCUCUUCCCUCUGUAUUCAGCUCAGGCGCUCAGGACUGCCAGGACCCAGAGGAUUCACACGCCAGCCCCGGCUGAAGCCCAGCUCCUCAUCAACCGGUGAGCCGCCUGCCAGCUCCUGCUCCAGCUGCUGAGAGGCCUGAAGAGACCAAGACAGAGACACAGCCCCGCAGCACCACAGGGAGGCCCCAGUUACCCCAUGCGGAUGAGUUUCAUGGCCAUCUCUAACUAAGGACAGGACAUCGAUGUCAUCUGUAACUUCCGGUGCACUGGGGCACACAGCUGCAUCUCCCCAUGCUCACCUCCUGCCUCUUGCUCUGCCCAGUGUGAGGACUCAGCCUGGAUCACCUCCUCCAGGACAAGAACAACCUACCAUCAUCUGUCCGUCCAAUCUACCCACCCAUCCAUCUCUGCCUCUGGCCAUGCAUCCGUCCGUCCAUCCAUCCCCGCCUCUGUGCAUGCAUCUGUCCAUCCAUCCCCGCCUCUGUGCAUGCAUCUGUGCAUCCAUCCAUCCCUGCCUCUGUGCAUGCAUCUGUCCAUCCAUCCCCGCCUCUGUGCAUGCAUCUGUCCAUCCAUCCCCACCUCUGUGCAUGCAUCUGUCCGUACAUCCAUCCCUGCCUCUGUGCAUGCAUCUGUCCAUUCAUCCCUGCCUCUGUGCAUGCAUCUGUCCAUCCAUCCAUCCCCGCCUCUGUGCAUGCAUCUGUCCAUCCAUCCCUGCCUCUGUGCAUGCAUCUGUCCAUUCAUCCCUGCCUCUGUGCAUGCAUCUGUCCAUCCAUCCAUCCCUGCCUCUGUGCAUGCAUCUGUCCAUUCAUCCCUGCCUCUGUGCAUGCAUCUGUCCAUCCAUCCAUCCCUGCCUCUGUGCAUGCAUCUGUCCAUUCAUCCCUGCCUCUGUGUAUGCAUCUGUCCAUCCAUCCAUCCCCACCUCUGUGCAUGCAUCUGUCCAUCCAUCCCCGCCUCUGUGCAUGCAUCUGUCCGUCCAUCCAUCCCUGCCUCUGUGCAUGCAUCUGUCCGUCCAUUCAUCCCUGCCUCUGUGCAUGCAUCUGUCCAUUCAUCCAUCCCUGACUCUGUGCAUGCAUCUGUCCAUCCAUCCAUCCUUGCCUCUAUGCAUGCAUUUGUCCGUCCAUCCAUCCCUGCCUCUGUGCAUGCAUCCAUACCUGCCUCUGUGCAUGCAUCUGUCAGUCUAUCAAUCCCCGAUCCCUUCUUUGUAAUGGUGUUGAGCGCUCACAACUCCCUCAUCCUAAGACGCUCGUUGGAUCCAUUCCCUCCCCUCACCCCAUGCUGCUCUCUGCCCUCCCUUCCCGGUCAAGUUCUCCAGCCAGUGGUCUCAACUCAAUCUUCACUUCCCCCGCUCCUCUCACACCUAUCCCCACUGCAUUCUAAAUUCUUCCCCAACGCGCUGGGCCUACAGGCACUAAAAAGGUCACUUUGUCCCUGGAUGACCAAACACAGGCCAAUGUAACUUACUGGGCUUGUUUUGCCCCAGCCACAGCUGACCACUUCCUCCUUCACUCUUGUUGUUGAUCACCUUUGGGCUUAGUCUUUCUCCAUCUCUGUUGAGUCCUUCUCCCCUGCCACCUACUCCUUCAUGCUGGGGUUCUCUGUAGCUCUGUACCUGACAGUCACGUUCCACCCUUUCCUCCCAGAAGCUCGCCAACCCCCGUGGACUGCUGGCUCUCAAGGCGGCCGCUAGCCCAGCUCCGACAGCAGCUGACAAUGCACAGUAUGCGGCCCAGGGCAGGCCCUGUGCUGAGAGGCAUGGGUGAAUGGCUCAUUUCAUCGGCAAGCCCACGCCACCAGCAGGCGCCGUUCUCCUCGCAUUUCUCAGGCGAGGAACCUGAGACAAUGAGGUUAAGGAAGUUGUUCAUUACAAGUGGAAGAACCCUGACUUACUUGAAUUCA
This 2163-nucleotide long non-coding RNA is filed under the name Homo sapiens (human). RNAcentral's name for it is "non-protein coding MMP25-AS1:23". Lineage: Eukaryota; Metazoa; Chordata; Mammalia; Primates; Hominidae. The record is from RNAcentral.